AGGAGUGUGCUCCUGGGAGAGCAGGCAGCCUCCAAAACUGCCAGACAGGGUUCGAAUCCUUGCACUCCUG
This 70-nucleotide transfer RNA is filed under the name Planctomycetota bacterium. RNAcentral describes it as "Planctomycetes bacterium (marine metagenome) tRNA-Trp". It matches the Rfam family "tRNA". From Rfam's summary of the family: Transfer RNA (tRNA) molecules are approximately 80 nucleotides in length. Their secondary structure includes four short double-helical elements and three loops (D, anti-codon, and T loops). Lineage: Bacteria; Pseudomonadati; Planctomycetota. The record is from RNAcentral.